UCUCAGUAAGCUUGUUGAAUCAAUUAAGAGAUUGCUUUCCUCAGAUUUUGUGGAAUUCUUCUUGUCUAGAUUCACUGUUGCUUUCGGUGCAGAAUGAUCCACCUUCUUCUGUAGUCAAUGAUCCAGCUUGUGUUGCUUCUAUCCGCUCUUUGUACCAAAAGACUGUCCGCGAAUGGAUAGUUGUUUCACUUUCACAGGCUCCUUGUACUAGUCAGGGGCUUCUUCAGGAAAAGCUUUGUAAAGCAAACACUUGGCAAAAAUCACAGCCUACAGCAGAAGUUGUUUCUCUCUUAUCCGAGAUUAAAAUUGGUACUGGUAAAAAUGAUUGUUGGACAGGAACAAAACCAGCAAAUAUUCCUGCUGUUAUGGCUGCAGCAGCUGCAGCAUCUGGAGCAAAAUUAAAAUUGACAGAGGCAUUUAAUUUAGAGGUUCUGAGUACUGGUAUGAUCAGUGCAACUGCAAAAUGCAAUCAUGCUGGAGAAAUUGCUGGAAUGAGAAGGUUAUAUGAGACUAUUGGCAGCCUUGAUCGUCCAGCGGUUGGUUCGGUUGAUAUAAAGGAAAAUAUGCAGCAAAAUCCUGAGUCCUUUUCUGAGGUUUUACUUACAAAGUUUGUCCGACUGCUUCAGAAGUUUGUUAAUGCUGCAGAAAAAGGGGGAGAAGUGGAUAAAUCAGCAUUCCAUGAAACUUGUUCUCAAGCAACUGCUUUACUUCUGUCUGAUCUGGGUUCAGGUUCUAAAUCAAAUGUAGAAAGCUUUUCACAACUUUUACGUCUUCUUUGCUGGUGCCCAGCUUAUAUAUUGACAUCUGAUGCCAUGGAGACUGG
Molecule: unclassified non-coding RNA, 823 nt
Filed under: Hevea brasiliensis (rubber tree)
Lineage: Eukaryota; Viridiplantae; Streptophyta; Magnoliopsida; Malpighiales; Euphorbiaceae
Source: RNAcentral